AAUCCCGGAAGGGCUUGGGCAAUGACAGCCUGGGUUGCCUAGAAGCCCGAAGGUGGACCAGGGGUAGAUAUGGUUGAGUCCUUUAAUCCAGAGCAAGCCGGGGAUCCCUAAAGCGACCAGGGUGGAUCGGGAGCCACAGGUGCCUCGGUGACAUACCGGAACAAAGUGGAGAAUUACAAGGCGCGGGGUGAGCGACGCGCGAAGAUCCGACUCACCGUGCGGAGCUCCUGGGUUCGGUCCUUCAUGCUCCCGGGAGUGGCAGUAGGCGCCGGCUGCAACCGAAUCAUGAUGUAGAACUCUCAGCUCCUUCUCCAGCACCACAUCUGCCUGGA
Molecule: long non-coding RNA, 332 nt
Organism: Mastomys coucha (southern multimammate mouse)
Lineage: Eukaryota; Metazoa; Chordata; Mammalia; Rodentia; Muridae
Exons: 3
Source: RefSeq, a predicted model, not a curated record